Long non-coding RNA from Ictalurus punctatus (channel catfish), 820 nucleotides. RefSeq lists it as uncharacterized. Lineage: Eukaryota; Metazoa; Chordata; Actinopteri; Siluriformes; Ictaluridae. The record is from RefSeq and is a predicted model, not a curated record. The transcript is spliced from 2 exons.
AGCAGUUGGGCUCUGGCACUCUCUCUCUCUCUCUCAGGAACGUUGGCAGUUGAAGAGAAUUUCAGGAAUGAAUCAUAAUCUGACUCACAUAAACGACCUCAAAAAUUCGACCUUAUUCGACCAGUAAAACUACUGUUUCCUCACAGACAGUAAUUAAGACAAUUAUGACCCGGUCAUUUGUGAGGGGAGAAAAACUGAAUAAAACAAAUCUCUCUUUAGCUUCUGCUGCUAACGCUUUUGAAGAUGCAGAUGCGUGAUUGGGGCGUGGCCUCAUUACCUCAGACUAACGGUCGCAAUUCCUGCACUAAGGAUUGAUAUGUUUUAUAGGCUAUCAUUUUGUUCUAAACAAGAUAUUUAGCAUUUUAGUUCAUCUAAAUGUUAUAUAUCCGUGGAAAACACCUCGGCAGAUGUGUCUCAAAAAAACUUUCAACCGCUCCCUCACAACCACUGCAAACAUCUGCAUCUGCCUGCAACCUGCCGGGUUUCUCGUGCAGAAUGACAACUACAAGCGGACGCACGAGCAGCACUCACCUGCUUUCAUAACACAUUACUAGGCUAUAAAAAAAAAUACAUAUUUAAAAUAUAUAUAUAUAUAUAUGCGCUUACAUUCUUUUAUCAGUCGGAACGAGUUGCCGGUGCAGAGCGAGUGAGAACCCGAACAAGCUGUUCGGCUCCCCGCUCUUCCUGAUCACAUUCUCCGUGUCCAGGUUGAAGGCGGAAAUGAACCCGCAUUCCAUUAAACAGAGGAGAGACAAGGUAAGCGUCCGGUAACGCGCCAUGUUAAUGCGGGGAGAAAUCUGAACAGUGUGCUGUGGUCUGG